RNAcentral lists this ribosomal RNA (549 nucleotides) under Attheya sp. RCC5214. RNAcentral describes it as "SSU rRNA". It matches the Rfam family "Eukaryotic small subunit ribosomal RNA", at positions 639 to 1192 of the family's 1831-position model. Lineage: Eukaryota; Bacillariophyta; Biddulphiophyceae; Attheyales; Attheyaceae. The record is from RNAcentral.
UUUCUGGCGGGAGCGGGUGGUCCGGCACUUUGUGUUGGUACUUUCCUGUCUCUUGCCAUCCUUGGGUCUAAGCUGUCUGGCAUUUAGUUGUCGGGCAGUGGCUGCCCAUCGUUUACUGUGAAAAAAUUAGAGUGUUCAAAGCAGGCUUAUGCCGUUGAAUAUAUUAGCAUGGAAUAAUAAGAUAGGACCUUGGUACUAUUUUGUUGGUUUGCGCACCGAGGUAAUGAUUAAGAGGGACAGUUGGGGGUAUUCGUAUUCAAUUGUCAGAGGUGAAAUUCUUGGAUUUCUGGAAGACGAACUACUGCGAAAGCAUUUACCAAGGAUGUUUUCAUUAAUCAAGAACGAAAGUUAGGGGAUCGAAGAUGAUUAGAUACCAUCGUAGUCUUAACCAUAAACUAUGCCGACUAGGGAUUUGUGGGUGUUAUUUUUGACCCCAUGAGCACCUUAUGAGAAAUCAAAGUCUUUGGGUUCCGGGGGGAGUAUGGUCGCAAGUCUGAAACUUAAAGAAAUUGACGGAAGGGCACCACCAGGAGUGGAGCCUGCGGCUUA